This 449-nucleotide ribosomal RNA is filed under the name uncultured bacterium. RNAcentral's name for it is "partial 16S ribosomal RNA". It matches the Rfam family "Bacterial small subunit ribosomal RNA", at positions 29 to 523 of the family's 1533-position model. The record is from RNAcentral.
AAUGAACGCUGGCGGCAGGCCUAACACUUGCAAGUCGAACGGAUCCUUCGGGAUUAGUGGCGGACGGGUGAGUAACGCGUGGGAACAUACCCUUUGGUACGGAAUAGCGUCGGGAAACUGGGAGUAAUACCGUAUGUGGUCGAGAGACGAAAGAUUUAUCGCCAAAGGAUUGGCCCACGUUGGAUUAGGUAGUUGGUGGGGUAAUGGCCUACCAAGCCGACGAUCCAUAGCUGGUUUGAGAGGAUAAUCAGCCACACUGGGACUGAGACACGGCCCAGACUCCUGCGGGAGGCAGCAGUGGGGAAUCUUAGACAAUGGGGGGAACCCUGAUCUAGCCAUGCCGCGUGAUCGAUGAAGGCCUUAGGGUUGUAAAGAUCUUUCAGGUGGGAAGAUAAUGACUUUACCACCAGAAGAAGCCCCGGCUAACUCCGUGCCAGCCGCCGCGGUAA